GAUUUGCUCAAUUAUCUUUGGGGAGUCUCAUACUACAGGGAAGAGAAGAGUUUUUAACCAACUCCUAGAAUUCUAGAGUUAUUAGCAAAUGCACAAGUGGACGCAAGAAGAACAAGGGGGUUCUCUUGCCAUGGGUGAGUUUAAUGAUGAACCAACACAAGGAAAGAACUAGCACAUUUUCAUCCUGAGAUGCUGCAAGUUGUGGAAAAGAAGAUCACUCUCCUCAUCUUUUAGUUUAUAGGAGUUUUUGAUGCUCAAUUGUCAGGAGUUGCACUGCUGGAAGCAAGAAGAACAAGGUAAUACUUUCUAGUAAAACAAUUUCAUUUAUAGUGCACCGAGAUAGGUCAUAAGGUCGGUCAUCCUUUGCGAAUCUAAAUAAGUGCAGAGAUCUGAUACUUGUCCUCUUUGUCCAUUUUAUCGGGCACGCUGGCAUGCGAGGACGAGCUAUAAUUGCUCAGAUAAUAAAAUAUUAUCCGAGGUUUUGCCGAUGUGGGUGCAAAUCGGCAUGUUGGUUUUGGGCGUCUAAUUGAUGCGAGGUACGCCCUGGAUGUAGUUUCACACCAACACGCUGAACUUGAUUGUUUCUCACCCAUUGGUUGCUUUCCUAAGCGCAUGCCUAGGUUAUUUUGGUCCUAAACCUCGCGCCUUUGUGCUUUACCAGCUCUUUGCCUUCGAUGGUGGUGCUCAUUGGAAGAACUAGAGCCAUCGCUAGCAAUUCUAAUUCUAAGCUCCUAGCUUUGCAUUCUCAUGACGACGUUAUGUUGGCCAUGAGCCUGGUUUCCUUGCUGGACUUCCUUCAUUCCAGCCACUUCUUGCCACAAGGUUUGGAAUGCACUAGUGAGUGACCUCAUCAUAUCCAUCAUCUGGGCAGUCUUCAAGUUGGACGUUCUCGCCCCUUACUGGGUCACUGGUGGAACAACUAGUGGGUGAGUCUGCAUGGCCCUUUGAUCAACCUCCUGGUGGCCAGGUUCAUUAUUACAUGUCUGAUUAGCUCCGAUGACGCUUUUUGAUGCUUUAGUGCAUGUCAUGGCUAUUGUGUGUGGUAAAGAGUAUGAUUGACAAGGAGAAGAUCAUCUUUCUAGUGCCAAAAUGUUUUUAUGAAAUCUCGCAACAACCAAAGAUACCCGAUUCACCUUGAUGGAAUUGGAUAGGAUGGCUGCGUGAUUAUGAAUAAUUAGUAAAAUAAAUAAUGGAACUAAUGAAAUUAAAUGCAAAAGAGCUUUUAAGAGGUGCAACAAGUGAACUCUCAAGCAUACGUUCUCUGUUUUCUUAUUACUGUAUUUGAUUACAAAAAUAAGCUCUCUUUCUAAAAUUGCUAACCCCUUUAUAAUGAUUUUUAGGGGUUUGUACACUAAUGAAAAUGAUUAUGGUUAUAAGAGUGAUUUUUGAGUGUUGUGUGUGAUUUUUCUGCCAAGCUCGGGCUAACUCAAAGAUAUAGCUUGACCCAGAAUGAGCUCGGCAACUAUGAUUGAUCGACCUAGCAUAAGCUCGUCGAGAUAUAGCUUGACCCAGCAUAAACUAGUCGCAAACAAUUCGAGGAAUCAUUCAAUUAAUCUCCAGAUUACUUC
Pistacia vera is the source of this 1568-nucleotide long non-coding RNA. RefSeq lists it as uncharacterized. Lineage: Eukaryota; Viridiplantae; Streptophyta; Magnoliopsida; Sapindales; Anacardiaceae. The record is from RefSeq and is a predicted model, not a curated record. The transcript has 3 exons.